This 472-nucleotide ribosomal RNA is filed under the name uncultured bacterium. RNAcentral describes it as "bacterial SSU rRNA". It matches the Rfam family "Bacterial small subunit ribosomal RNA", at positions 34 to 507 of the family's 1533-position model. The record is from RNAcentral.
CGCUGGCGGCGUGCCUAACACAUGCAAGUCGAACGGGACUGAUUGGAAAGCGGCUUCGGCCAAUGGAAGAUCGGUUUAGUGGCGAACGGGUGAGUAACACGUGAGGAACCUGCCUUUCAGUGGGGGACAACAGUUAGAAAUGGCUGCUAAUACCGCAUAAGCGCACAGUACCGCAUGGUACCGUGUGAAAAACUCCGGUGGUAUGAGAUGGACCCGCGUCUGAUUAGCUAGUUGGUAAGGUAACGGCUUACCAAGGCGACGAUCAGUAGCCGGCCUGAGAGGGUGAACGGCCACAUUGGGACUGAGACACGGCCCAAACUCCUACGGGAGGCAGCAGUGGGGAAUAUUGCACAAUGGGGGAAACCCUGAUGCAGCGACGCCGCGUGAGUGAAGAAGUAUUUCGGUAUGUAAAGCUCUAUCAGCAAGGAAGAAAAUGACGGUACUUGACUAAGAAGCCCCGGCUAACUACGUG